UACAGAGGGUGCGAGCGUUGUCCGGAAUCACUGGGCGUAAAGCGCACGUAGGUGGACUUUCAAGUCAGGGGUGAAAUCCCGGGGCUCAACCUCGGAACUGCCUUUGAUACUGUUGGUCUUGAGUCCGGAAGAGGUGAGUGGAAUUCCUAGUGUAGAGGUGAAAUUCGUAGAUAUUAGGAAGAACACCGGUGGCGAAGGCGGCUCACUGGUCCGGUACUGACACUGAGGUGCGAAAGCGUGGGGAGCAAACAGG
This 253-nucleotide ribosomal RNA is filed under the name uncultured bacterium. Its description in RNAcentral is "partial 16S ribosomal RNA". It matches the Rfam family "Bacterial small subunit ribosomal RNA", at positions 524 to 776 of the family's 1533-position model. The record is from RNAcentral.